CCUACGGGAGGCAGCAGUAGGGAAUAUUGCGCAAUGGGCGAAAGCCUGACGCAGCAACGCCGCGUGAAGGAGACGUUCUUUGGGGGGUAAAGUCCUAUUAGGGGGGACGAAAGAUGACGGUACCCACAGAGGAAGCACCGGCUAACUCCGUGCCAGCAGCCGCGGUAAUACGGAGGGUGCAAGCGUUGUCCGGAAUCAUUGGGCGUAAAGAGUUCGUAGGCGGUAUGUUAAGUCUGGUGUUAAAUGCAGAAGCUCAACUUCUGUUCGGCACUGGAUACUGGCAAACUAGAGUGCGGUAGAGGUAAAGGGAAUUCCUGGUGUAGCGGUGAAAUGCUUAGAUAUCAGGAGGAACAUCGGUGGCGUAGGCGCUUUACUGGGCCGUAAUUGACGCUGAGGAACGAAAGCCAGGGUAGCAAAUAGGAUUAGAUACCCUUGUAGUC
This 440-nucleotide ribosomal RNA is filed under the name uncultured bacterium. RNAcentral describes it as "partial 16S ribosomal RNA". It matches the Rfam family "Bacterial small subunit ribosomal RNA", at positions 338 to 795 of the family's 1533-position model. The record is from RNAcentral.